UUGAUUCAUUUAUAAUGCCACUCAGAAGAUUCUAUAAAAACAAGAGUUUGGGUCCCCGGCGGGCGCCUUGGCCCGGGAGCGAGUCCCGGGGCGGUCCGCCGAAGCAACGAUAGGUAUGUUCACAGGGGUUUGGGAGUUGUAAACUCGAUAAUGAUCCCUCCGCUGGUUCACCAACGGAGA
Molecule: unclassified non-coding RNA, 180 nt
Filed under: uncultured fungus
Lineage: Eukaryota; Fungi
Description: sequence contains ITS1
Source: RNAcentral